This 2962-nucleotide long non-coding RNA is filed under the name Gallus gallus (chicken). Lineage: Eukaryota; Metazoa; Chordata; Aves; Galliformes; Phasianidae. The record is from RNAcentral.
UAAAAACUGUGUCUGCUUGUCCUGCGAGUCAUUCCUCAGCGCUGCUGUAAUAACGCUGAUCUCCCUCCACACUGCAGGCUGGUCUGGAAAAUUCACAAACAUGUCGUAGAGCAGCCUGCCCGCCGACGCCGUCCUCUCAGCGUUCCUCUCGAUGGUGUACAUCUCAUACUGGAUAUUGAAGUCGGCGGGGUAGAGGCUCCGCGCCGUGAUGAGCCAGGCCUUGGCCGCCCAUAGAUCUCCCGGCACCAGCUCGCGGGCUCGCUUCACCAGAAACUCGCAAUCCCCCUGAGCUGACAUCUUGCGGCCGGGCGGCACGCAUGCGCCCCGACGCGGCCUCGUCCGCUCUUCUGCCCCGCCCCAUCCGGGCGACGUGGGGCUCAGGGCGUGCGCGGGAGCCGCCAUUUUGUGGGAUCGUUCCAGGGUUCUUGGCGAAGUUAACUGUGCUCCGCCGGCCUUUUUUUUUGCCUUCUUUAUAGGCCCUUGAGGGGUCUUUGUGCUGCACAGGGGCUAGUGAGGUAUAGGGACCUUAUUGUGUGUGGGCUGAGGUAGGCUGAGGGUCAGAAGAUGUAUCUGUAGUAGGAAAGUGGGAAUUAAGAGGACUUGUAUGGAUAGGGAGGGUUAAAGUACUUUUACAUAGCUCAGGGAGUAGUUUAGGCUCUCCAAACUUGUGACUUGUAAGGAAUUUUGUGAUACUUUGCAUCAGUAUUUUAGAACUAGUGUCUCAGUAGAUAGAGCAGCGGGUGAGCCAGGCUUAAGGGCUCCUCUUUUUUAGUUUUGUGAGUGGUGUCUUGAAUAUAAUGGUAGCAGGAGUCAACUGACCUAAAAUCCCUAGAGUUUACAACACGGCAGUGCCCUUUUUGAAGUUGAUACUGCUGUAAAUCAAAGCACUUUAUAAAGGUCCAAGGCCCUUGCACCUCUGGUAAAAGGCACUUGUAGUUUAGGACUAAGGUAACCACCAGUAGAGUGACUCCAGAGCAGAGCUUUUUCUCUUCAUAAGCUCUCCUGACCUUCAGCGAUUUAAGAGAUUUGCUUAUCUGUAGUUUAUGGUGUUCACUGCUAAGAUGCUUGAUUAUAUGCAAGUGUUCCUGUUCCUUAUCUGGCAGUAAACUUUUUCAACCUUAUCAUUUUAUUUAUUCCUUUCAAGUAGGCCGUUCAUUUUUGAUGUGGCGACAGACCUUAUAGACUUUGUUCUUGUGAACUGCAGUGCUUAAGUCCAUGUGGAUUGUCUCCUAAGUGCAAAGACCUUUAGUAAAAAGUUAAAACAGAUGCUUAGUCUUGAUAGCAGAUAAGGGGUAACAUCCUUGUCUUUCUGCUUUAUCGACUGAUGCGUUUUUGCCUCAUUCUUAGCUGUUUAUAAUGUCUGCAGAUCCUCUUGCUAUUCUGGUGCAGGUGAAAAAGUAGGCUGGUAGGCUGCCAGAGAUUUGAAGUUUGGGGGAAAUGUGGAGUCCCUGGUGUCUUUUUUGGGUUGAGAAUGGAGUCAUCCAAGUGCUGGGAAUUUGACUUCUCUCCUUCUCUCCCUGCUGCUGCUAAUUCCUCCUACAUCAAAGCCACUGCCAGCAUUGUGUGAGGAACCGCCCAUGCUUUUUGGGUGUGAAUCCUACAUUUGUUUCACUCUCUGGCCUCUCAGUGUUGGCCUUGUGGAAGGGAACCUGUAUAUAAAGAUGUAUAUAAACUGCAACCUUCAGGAAGAGGUGUGCUUGCAAGGGCUCUGCUCUCUGAAGGAGAGAGCUGAUUUUAGCCUGACAUGAAACUGUUGUUAUUUCAUACCCUAUUCUGAUUUCCUGCUGCUGUGCUAACAAAUGCAAUGAGAAAUUGUUACAGGAUUGUCUUGUUGAAAGCAAUUGACCCUGUCAGUUUAUCAGUACCCAGCAGUGAGUGCAAGAUCCUGUUCUUUGACCCUUCUCUCAGCUAUCUUGCCAUAUGCUCAUCAGUUGCAAUUUGAAAGAGCACGAAAUGGGUAAUUAAUGCACCAUUCAGAGGUGACAGAGCCACAGUAGAAAGACUGCUGUUGCUCUUGAAACGGAUGCAGAACACUUCCUCAUCUUUCUUUCCUGCCUCUACUAUCCAACCAACAGCCUGUUACAGGCUGCUGUGGGAUGGCAUUUUACUUUUUUGGGCUCAAAACACAGCAAUGUGUAUUGUCUCUUCAUUAACUGCCUGGGGAAGGACUGAUAGGGUGAGUGGUCCUGGCUUGUUCUGUGCUGCUUGUGAGGCUGGGAUUAGGAUGCCACAAGAGGCACCAGGAGGAUAGUGGGUAUCAGAAGCUGCUUUUGAAGAAGGGGUGUGCGAGGAGUCCCCUGCUAUAUACCUGCUGCAGAACUACACUCAGGUACCAGCUAGACAGAAAUCAUGACUUUGGAUGAGUUUCAUAAGGAGUCAUAAAAGCAAGAUGUAGCUCUUUUUAAUCAAGAGAAUUUAGAGCGUUGGGUUUAGUGAUAUCGGAGUAAGAAACAAUACUUUUGUUUUCUUGUGUAAGAGGAAAGGGAACACUGUUUUUUGGAGAAUCGUAGUUAUUACCGUGAUAAUUUCUUGUAGCUAGAAGUCAGCAUCUGGUAGCACAGCAGGAGGAAAUCGGAAUAGGGCAUGGAAUAAUGACAGUUCCAAAAAUAUGGGUACUGAGUCUCUACCACAUCACAAUAGGACUUGCAUUUGAAGUUGCUGAGAACAGAAGCUAUUGGUUUUAGCUGAGCAGGUUAGUGGGUUCCAUCUCUAGAGGGCCCUUCCAACCCCUACGAUUCUGUGGUUUAGGGCUAUUACUGUGCUGAACUGGAACCACUGAUGUGCCAGUGGCUUGGUGUACUCAUCUUCUAUCCCAAGUCUGUAGCUGGUGGCAGGGCUGGGCUGGUCCUGUCAGGUUGAGACCUGAUUCUUCCUCCCCACCUGGAGUGGCUUUCCCAAGUAAAUUUCCCAAUACAGACUGUCCUGUUUGGAUGUGAACAAUGCAGGGCAUGCUGAAGGUCUC